CAGCUGGGAGAGCGCUUGCAUGGCAUGCAAGAGGUCAGCGGUUCGAUCCCGCUUAGCUCCACCA
Molecule: transfer RNA, 64 nt
Filed under: Escherichia coli 2-222-05_S1_C1
Lineage: Bacteria; Pseudomonadati; Pseudomonadota; Gammaproteobacteria; Enterobacterales; Enterobacteriaceae
Also listed under: 20 other names
Description: partial tRNA-Ala
Rfam family: tRNA
About the family: Transfer RNA (tRNA) molecules are approximately 80 nucleotides in length. Their secondary structure includes four short double-helical elements and three loops (D, anti-codon, and T loops).
Source: RNAcentral